This 100-nucleotide small nucleolar RNA is filed under the name Lepisosteus oculatus (spotted gar). The record is from RNAcentral. Lineage: Eukaryota; Metazoa; Chordata; Actinopteri; Semionotiformes; Lepisosteidae.
NNGAUCUUGUAAGUCUCAUUCCAGUGCCACAUUAACCCCAGCUAGCAGAAGGGCCAGGUCUGUGAUCGUGGCUUUCCCCUUUCGAAGGCUGGGGACAGUU